RNAcentral lists this ribosomal RNA (497 nucleotides) under uncultured bacterium. Its description in RNAcentral is "partial 16S ribosomal RNA". It matches the Rfam family "Bacterial small subunit ribosomal RNA", at positions 28 to 507 of the family's 1533-position model. The record is from RNAcentral.
GAUGAACGCUGGCGGCGUGCCUAAUACAUGCCAGUCGAGCGAACAGACGAGGAGCUUGCUCCUCUGACGUUAGCGGCGGACGGGUGAGUAACACGUGGAUAACCUACCUAUAAGACUGGGAUAACUUCGGGAAACCGGAGCUAAUACCGGAUAAUAUAUUGAACCGCAUGGUUCAAUAGUGAAAGACGGUUUUGCUGUCACUUAUAGAUAGAUCCGCGCCGCAUUAGCUAGUUGGUAAGGUAACGGCUUACCAAGGCGACGAUGCGUAGCCGACCUGAGAGGGUGAUCGGCCACACUAGAACUGAGACACGGUCCAGACUCCUACGGGAGGCAGCAGUAGGGAAUCUUCCGCAAUGGGCGAAAGCCUGACGGAGCAACGCCGCGUGAGUGAUGAAGGUCUUCGGAUCGUAAAACUCUGUUAUUAGGGAAGAACAAAUGUGUAAGUAACUAUGCACGUCUUGACGGUACCUAAUCAGAAAGCCACGGCUAACUACGUG